AUUGAACGCUGGCGGAAUGCUUUACACAUGCAAGUCGAACGGCAGCACGGGGGCAGCCCUGGUGGCGAGUGGCGAACGGGUGAGUAAUACAUCGGAGCGUGCCCGGUCGUGGGGGAUAACGUAGCGAAAGUUACGCUAAUACCGCAUACGAUCUGAGGAUGAAAGCGGGGGACCUUCGGGCCUCGCGCGAUCGGAGCGGCCGAUGUCAGAUUAGGUAGUUGGUGGGGUAAAGGCCUACCAAGCCGACGAUCUGUAGCUGGUCUGAGAGGACGACCAGCCACACUGGGACUGAGACACGGCCCAGACUCCUACGGGAGGCAGCAGUGGGGAAUUUUGGACAAUGGGCGCAAGCCUGAUCCAGCCAUUCCGCGUGCAGGACGAAGGCCUUCGGGUUGUAAACUGCUUUUGUACGGAACGAAAAGGCUCUGGCUAAUACCUGGGGCUCAUGACGGUACCGUAAGAAUAAGCACCGGCUAACUACGUG
RNAcentral lists this ribosomal RNA (484 nucleotides) under uncultured bacterium. Its description in RNAcentral is "partial 16S ribosomal RNA". It matches the Rfam family "Bacterial small subunit ribosomal RNA", at positions 30 to 507 of the family's 1533-position model. The record is from RNAcentral.